UCCAGAGGUCUCAAGCGUUGUUCGGAUUCAUUGGGCGUAAAGGGUGUGUAGGUGGCGCCGUAAGUCGGGUGUGAAAUUUCGGAGCUUAACUCCGAAACUGCAUUCGAUACUGCGGUGCUUGAGGACUGGAGAGGAGACUGGAAUUCAUGGUGUAGCAGUGAAAUGCGUAGAGAUCAUGAGGAAGACCAGUGGCGAAGGCGGGUCUCUGGACAGUUCCUGACACUGAGACACGAAGGCCAGGGGAGCAAACGGG
This 253-nucleotide ribosomal RNA is filed under the name uncultured bacterium. Its description in RNAcentral is "partial 16S ribosomal RNA". It matches the Rfam family "Bacterial small subunit ribosomal RNA", at positions 524 to 776 of the family's 1533-position model. The record is from RNAcentral.